This 393-nucleotide ribosomal RNA is filed under the name uncultured Chrysophyceae. RNAcentral describes it as "partial small subunit ribosomal RNA". It matches the Rfam family "Eukaryotic small subunit ribosomal RNA", at positions 30 to 432 of the family's 1831-position model. Lineage: Eukaryota; Chrysophyceae. The record is from RNAcentral.
GCUUGUCUCAAAGAUUAAGCCAUGCAUGUCUAAGUAUAAACAUUUAUACUGUGAAACUGCGAAUGGCUCAUUAAAUCAGUUAUAGUUUAUUUGAUAAUACCUUACUACUUGGAUAACCGUGGUAAUUCUAGAGCUAAUACAUGCUAAAAAUCCCGACUUCUGGAAGGGAUGUAUUUAUUAGAUGGAAACCAAUGCGGGGCAACCCGGUAUAUGGUGAUUCAUAAUAACUUUCGGAUCGAUCUUCGGAUCGAUGCAUCAUUCAAGUUUCUGCCCUAUCAGCUUUGGAUGGUAGGGUAUUGGCCUACCAUGGCUUUAACGGGUAACGGAGAAUUAGGGUUCGAUUCCGGAGAGGGAGCCUGAGAAAUGGCUACCACAUCCAAGGAAGGCAGCAGG